AUGGUAGGGCAAGCGUUUGGAGUAGGGACAGGGGCAGCAAUGUGGCACUGGAAUUCCUGGUAAGAAAGGGCAGCAUGGGUGGGCUGUGGUGUUGGAGCUGGACACUGUGCUUGGGGAAGAAUUGGGUGCCAUUGCUUGUGCAAUUUGAGCUGCAUGGGCCACAGCUAGGGCAAGAAUUGCCACAGCAUGGUUGGACAACUUAUGUUUGUGUAUUGAUCACUGGACCAUUUCUUGGAGUAGGGGAACAUUGUGGAGGUUCACUUUGGCUGCCUGGAUCGCAACGAAAAUGGUGAGGGCAGUUGUCUUGGGCAUGGAGGCCAUGCAUGUUAUAGAUGCCGCAAAUGGGCUGGUACUUAACUGGUGCUUGUGCAUUCGGACACUUGGCAGCAAUGUGGCUGGGCUGUUGGCAUGGCUGAGCUGAGGAUAAUAUCUAUAUCCCUUGCAACAAGUAUUAGAUGUUCUCAUGGUCAAUAAUAGGCUGAGGUGGUGUAUGGAUUCCUCAAAUCCAGUUAGUUGAAGCUCGAACAUUUUUUGGCAAGUGUUUCCAAGUUUUCAUAUACUUUGGAGAUUUCUUAUGAUUGUGGCAGAGUUGAAGAGGAAGUGGCCAUGAUAGGAAGUACAUGCUGUUAGAGGUGGCUGUAAUUGAUGAUUCCAGGAAAAGGGACAAAAAGGUUAGCAGGAUCACCAGAGGACCACCAUGGAGUAGAAAGGCUGCUAAAAGCAAGCCAUGCUCAUGCAAGCUUGCUCCCAAUUGGAAGUUGUAG
Molecule: long non-coding RNA, 764 nt
Organism: Selaginella moellendorffii
Lineage: Eukaryota; Viridiplantae; Streptophyta; Lycopodiopsida; Selaginellales; Selaginellaceae
Exons: 3
Source: RefSeq, a predicted model, not a curated record